ACAGAUGGGAGCUUGCUCCCUGAUGUUAGCGGCGGACGGGUGAGUAACACGUGGGUAACCUGCCUGUAAGACUGGGAUAACUCCGGGAAACCGGGGCUAAUACCGGAUGGUUGUUUGAACCGCAUGGUUCAAACAUAAAAGGUGGCUUCGGCUACCACUUACAGAUGGACCCGCGGCGCAUUAGCUAGUUGGUGAGGUAACGGCUCACCAAGGCAACGAUGCGUAGCCGACCUGAGAGGGUGAUCGGCCACACUGGGACUGAGACACGGCCCAGACUCCUACGGGAGGCAGCAGUAGGGAAUCUUCCGCAAUGGACGAAAGUCUGACGGAGCAACGCCGCGUGAGUGAUGAAGGUUUUCGGAUCGUAAAGCUCUGUUGUUAGGGAAGAACAAGUACCGUUCGAAUAGGGCGGUACCUUGACGGUACCUAACCAGAAAGCCACGGCUAACUACGUGCCAGCAGCCGCGGUAAUACGUAGGUGGCAAGCGUUGUCCGGAAUUAUUGGGCGUAAAGGGCUCGCAGGCGGUUUCUUAAGUCUGAUGUGAAAGCCCCCGGCUCAACCGGGGAGGGUCAUUGGAAACUGGGGAACUUGAGUGCAGAAGAGGAGAGUGGAAUUCCACGUGUAGCGG
Molecule: ribosomal RNA, 629 nt
Filed under: Bacillus subtilis
Lineage: Bacteria; Bacillati; Bacillota; Bacilli; Caryophanales; Bacillaceae
Description: bacterial SSU rRNA
Rfam family: Bacterial small subunit ribosomal RNA
Source: RNAcentral